UACGUAGGUGGCAAGCGUUGUCCUGAUUUACUGGGCGUAAAGAGCGCGCAGGCGGUCGUUCAAGUCGCGUGUGAAAGCCCCCGGCUCAACUGGGGAGGGUCACGCGAUACUGAUCGACUGGAAGGCAGGAGAGGGUAGUGGAAUUCCCGGUGUAGUGGUGAAAUGCGUAGAUAUCGGGAGGAACACCAGUGGCGAAGGCGACUACCUGGCCUGUUCUUGACGCUGAGGCGCGAAAGCUAGGGGAGCAAACGGG
RNAcentral lists this ribosomal RNA (253 nucleotides) under uncultured bacterium. RNAcentral describes it as "partial 16S ribosomal RNA". It matches the Rfam family "Bacterial small subunit ribosomal RNA", at positions 524 to 776 of the family's 1533-position model. The record is from RNAcentral.